AGGUAUCUUCCAUACACAAAUCUGGAGCUUGGGUGCAUCAAACGCUCCAUCUAGUAAUCAAAUCAGAAACCAAACCAGGAAAACAUUCACAGGGUUUCGGGGGAACCAAUGUCUACGCCAAUUUGGUCCGCACACUUUGCUCUCGAGGAGUAAUUCUGACCCAAUAAAUAUCGACGUUAAGUCAUCAAGCCGAUUCAUUACACCUCGCAACAUCUGAUAUGACGAAAAUUUCGACUGCAAAUGCCAGUUCUUUCUUGUUAACGAACCCUCCAUUCGGUUUCUCGAGAUCUCCCCACGGCAUAAAGUUCGGGCGACCGUAGUUGUAAUUUUUGGCAGAGAGCCAACCACUAACUGCAAUGCCCCGAAAGAAAUACUAAUUAGUUCUUUUUAAAAAAAAUUAAUAUCACGAAAAACUUUAAAUUAGUACAUAAGUGACAAAUUUAGCCUAAAACUUAUUUUCGAAUCACAAAAAAAUCCCAAAUUAAUACAUAUAUGGCUAAUUUACCUCAAAUUUAUAUGAAUUUUCAUGUGGACUUGCCAUGUGUUAUCCAACUCAAUGAUUUCAUAGUAAAAUUUAAUAGAAGCUAACAAGUGACCAAUUUGGGGGUUUUUUUGAUAAAUUUAUCGCUAAUGUACUAGUUUAGAGGUUUUGGUAAUAAAAAAAGUAGUUUGAAGAAAAUUUGUCAUAAGUAUAUCAGUUUGAAGUUUUUUAGAGUAUUAAUCUUUUUUUUUUGGGUUAAAUUAUAGAGGUAGCCAUAUCUAAUUAGCAUACUCAUACUCAAUGUGGAACGAUGAAGAGACAUAGCAUUAUUCUUUCAAAAGGAGAUAUUCGUCUGCUUAUCUGGAUUGUUGUUAUGAUACUCAAAGUUUGGGAAGUCAAAUAGAUUGGGCUUUGAGCCCUUUGCAAAAAGCCAUUUGGAAAUUUUCCUUUAAAUAAGAAUGAUAUUCAUUUAUAAAGAUCUUGGAAAAAUUCUGCAUAUUUUUCUUUUUAAUUUGUAUAUAUGGUAAUACUUACAUAUAUAUGCGUAAGCCCGUUUGUGUGUGUAUCGUAAGAGAUUGAUUUUUUUUUUUUAAGAAAAAGAAAUUAAAACUCAAUCUAGACACAGCAGUUACAGAGAAAAAGAAAAGAAAAAACUAGCUGUUUUUUCCUUAUUGUUUUUUUUUUUUUUUUUGGGUCUGAAAAAGAUAAUAUUAUUACUAACGCAUAUUAGAAGUAGCAUUUUGCAUAAUGUUAUAAUACAACAGGUCACGCAAAAACAAAGGAGGGUUGUGAACCCAAUCCGGAGGAAGUAAAGAAGCCCGAUGGGCCUUCGCGGCCCGGUCUGCUACCAUAUUCAUUUCCCUCUUGCAAUGAGCUAUCUGAAGAUUAGGGCAUCGAGGAAGCAUCGACGUGCAUCCUUCAAUCAGAGGUCUGAUUUCCCAUGGUGGCAGAUUAGGGUUUCGUAUUGCCUCCACAAGAGAUAAGCAAUUAGUUUCUAGAUUAAUCCGAUCUGUUUUAUCCUUAUUGUUUCGAGGGUCGUUUUUGUUCAACAGCCGCAAUUUGGCUUUUACAUACAUUUUGAUCCUUAGAGGAAGGCCUGCGCUUGUAACUAAACGGACAGUGACUUCCCCUCCUGCGUCCCAUUGCGCUGGGGAAACACCUUUAACUUCCUACACACGAUAAUCUUAAUUAAAACAAAUAUGAGUUUUAGCGAAUUCUAAAACUUUUCACAAGAGUAUAGUUUUUUUUUUUUUUUGGUAAGUUCACAAGAGUAUAGUUGAAUCCUAAAAUUUUCAAAAAAAAAAAAAAAAGGUGCAAUGAAAUCCUAAAAUUUAUCAUGAAAGUGCAAUUGAGUCAUAAAACUUGUUAAAUUAGUGCAAUUAAAUUCUAAAACCUGUUAACAUUUUCUAAAGCUUGUUAGCAUUUUUCAUUUAUCAAAUUUAACAAAGUUGAUGAGAGAACUUGAAUGCACCAACUUAGCAGGUUUAAGGACUUAAUCAAACUUUUUGAAAUUUUUAUAACUUAAUUAUAUUUUUGAGACAAAUUUUAGGACUUGUCGUGUAUUUAUUUCUGAAAUUUAAAAAGAGGCAAAAGGCAAGUAGCUAAUUCCAUUUCCUCACCAACUUUUUCGUUUUGGGAAUGUACGAAUUCCUCCUUCCGAGGGUAAAGGCGUCGGAAUACUAAGGGUCCUUGUUCGAUGUGGAGAACUGUGGGAUCUUGCAAGUGGUUUUGUUAUGAGGUGGAUCUUUGUCGCGACGUCUCUUUUUUCGGCGCCCGCGAUCGAGUACGAGCGCCUAAGGAGGCUAAUGGCUCGGCUGAAAUUAGUUAUGCCCGAACUCUCCCAAGUCCACCAAUUCACGAAUUUAAUAGUCUAAAUUUUUAACCUGUAAAUCAAUUUUUAAAAUGGAAUCGCCACUAAUCGAUUUUGGGUGGGUUGAUAAGAAACCCAAGUGAAGUAUCAGGAGAAAUACUCACUCCUGCGCAACCAGAGAAAUUAGGAUCAGGGACUUGAUUACACUAGUUAAUCACUAAUGCCCUUUCAGUACCUAAUCUUGUUUAAACGGUUUUUUGGAUGUUCGAGGGAUUUUCCACGUAUUUUUGGGAGGAAUUCAAGUCCAAACCUCUCUCUUUUUCUUUUUUCUUUUUUUCUCUUUUUUCUCCUUCCUUUCUCUUUCUCUCUCCUUCUUCCCCCCAACCAAUCACCGACCGUCGCUGCUGCUGUCGACGAUGGCCAAUGACCAGCUAGGUAAGGUCCGAUGAGCUCGUCGGAGGCUCACCAGGCUAGGGCGAGGUCCAACGGGUGAGCCCAAGCCUCGUCGAUGGUUGGGCGAGCCUUGCCUAGCCCGUCGAGCCUCAUCAGGCUACUGGCCAUGCUUGGCCUCACCCCGGCUAAAGAGGCCUAGCCUAGCACUGCUUGGGCGACAGCGAUGGCCGGCGCUGAUUGGGUAAGGUCCAGUGAGCUCGUCGAAGGCUCACCUGGCCACUAGCGAGGCUCGACCUCACCCAAAUUUGCGAGGUUGAGGCUCAUGGUAGCCAGACGAGCCUCCAAUGAGCUCGUCGAACCUCGCCUAGUUGAUUGCCGACCAUCGCCGGCGCCCGCGACCAACCACAAAGAAGGAGGAAGAAGAAGCAAAAAAGAAGAGAAAAUAAGAAAAAUAUAAUGAAAGUAUUAAAAAUUAAAAGAAACAAAGGAAUUUAAGAGUCCCAUCAAACACUUUCUAUUCCGAGAAUAAAAAUUUUCAAUAGUUACCAAAUGCUUUCAAAUAUUCAGAAAUUGUUCCCAAAAAUAAAAUAAAAAGGAAUCAUUUUUGAGUGAAAAUUGUCCUCGGAAAUAGAAUAGUUACCAAAUGUACCAUUGGUGUUAACUAUUCUCCAUGAAGGGAGAUCUUUCUUCAAAAGCUUUCGCAGUGGGCAAAAUGUUUUGAGAAUUUCUUUCAAAUAAAAUUGUUAUAUUAGCUUAUGAAACAUAUUCUCAUUUGGAAACUUUAUAAUCAAAUAAAAUUUUAAAAAUUUUAAAAGCAAUAGACAUUAAUUAUUAUGACUAACAAAUAAAAUGAAGUACCGGUUCCCACAUAGUUAUACCUACUCUGUUUUGGAAGUACUUGAACAAGUUGAAAAAGGCCCUCCCGACCACUGGGUACGGUAACUUCUGGCAGCUCUUAUUGUCCACUCUCAAAUUGGAUUUUGGUAUUGUUUUCGACAUUGGAAUCAGCAUAAUGUUUUCUAUGUUUCAUGAACUCUUCAUAAUUUUCUUAAAUAUUUAAUUUUUUAUCUAAAUCUAAGAAAUUACAAGUUUUAUUGCGAAAUUUGUUAGCCAUGGAGUUGCACUUCUUGAGCGAUGACAAAUUUGCCGAUGGGUAAUCGCAACUUAUAUGGAGCCAAUAACAGAACGGUGCAGCUGCCCUUUGGAAUAAUGUAAAAAAGCUGAGUCAAAAAAGAGGUUCCGGCUUUAAUGUUAUAGAGAGAUCUUCCAUAAUUCAGGAUCACUCUCACUCACCGUCUUACUUGUUCUUUAAGAUGCCAAUGGGCCAGCGAGGCAUUUAGUGCCUUCAUGUUUCUGAUCUUCUUUAGACAACCAUUUUCUUAAAAGUUUAACUUCGAAUUGCUUGAAUUCAUUUGGAAGAAUGAAAAGGUGAAUGCUUCUAGAAGAAAAAAAGCCAAAAAUUCUAACUAAGCGGAGAUAAGAUACGAGUCAUGUGACAUUAUUUGGAUAAACACUAACUUUAUGCAAGUAUUAAUUUGAUUCUUCACUCAAGAUUUUCCAUUAAACUUUCUUUUGCAAACACGGCGACGUUGGUGUACUUUAUAUUAAUCCUAAUUCCAGUAUUUUAUAAUGAUGUUCUUCUUUUCGAAGUGGGAAUCCUCAUGGCGUCGGUUGCCAAGGUCGUAGGAGUUUGACAGCAUUAACUUCAUAUCAUUCCCUUUAAUGGUGUCAUGAGUUCCUUGAGAACAAUGUCUAUCAACCAAUUUGUCAAUGGACUUUUUCCCCCUAACAUGGUUUCUCACUCAAUUUGAUGGAGUGCAAUUCAACCAAUUGAUGCAUUCGUUGUUGAAUUGUACUAGAGCCAACAAAGAAUCGUCCAAGUUCAAUUCUCCAAAUUCAUACGAGUGGGUAUUUUCAUUUUCCAAACUACACCCGGUUCAAGAAUAGGGUGGGGAAGCCCGGCUGUUUAACAGAAGGACCACUCCGAUUCGGAAGAAGAGAAGGAUGGAUAAUCCGGAAGAGGAGCAAAAAUGUAAGUCUGGACCAGAUAACAGCCACAUUCCCAAGCAUUUAGCAAGGAAACAUGGGCGACGAGUCAAUAGAUGCAUGUGCUGGGAAGACAACCGCAUCUCUGAAAAUUGGACAAAACUAUCAAAAUAAGUACGAUGGCACUAAAUCAACUGGGUAAUCAAAUUGAAGAUAGACCCUUGACUGGUUUAGAAAAUUUGCCACUGUCAAGAGCUGUUCUAACACUGGUAAGUGACACAAGCUGCUCCGACGCUAAUGAUGGUAAAACCAACCGCUACUUCAUGGAGGUGAGUGGGAAACGACCAUUUAAGGUUCGAUGAAUUUAUAUAUUCAAUUCAAGAGAAGUGGUAAGAAUGGGUGAAAACGACCAAGUUAGUCUAUAAUUUUUGAGUUUUCCACUUUGCUUUAUUUUUAUUGAUAGUAGCUGUGUUGCUAAUCAUAUCUUUGCAUAGUGCUAUUAAGUUGUAAUAGUAAAUAGUCAAGUGUACAAGUGUAAGGAUAAUGAUUGUGUCAUGAUAGUGUGAUGCAUCGGUUGAUAGGAGCAACAUUGAUGAUUUUAAUUUGCUUUAAUGUUUACUAGUGGAUUUCAAUCUUGUUGCAACUAUUAGUCUGGAGAAUGGACAUAUGCUUUGGGAUAAAACCGAACUACUAUAAAUCUUAGUAUGUCAUCUUCUAUCUCUUUAUUAUUAGCAUCACUUGUUGAUUAUUAGUAACUGUUCAUCAGCAUCACUUAUGAUAACUUAACCUGUUUCUGCUGAUGCUGAAAUUUAACUCGUUAUGUCCCGCAAAUGUUCUUCGUAGUUCUCAUUGAUUUGUUUUACACUUAAUGCCACAACACCGCGCUCCUUGUGAACGGUCAGUGGCAAUAAGGAACGACCUAUACCACCCUUUCCUGGGGAUCCUCACCGUUGGAACCCUGCCGCCCUUCCAAAGAAUACUCACAAGAGAGCUGCGAGCAGACAUGUUAGCACGCAUGCAAACAUCCUGGCUCUACUACAACACAAGGAAAGAUCGCGACAAACUAUAAAAUGGCUCACAAGGAUUUUAUUAUAAGCAUAGCUACGAUUACACACAGUUCGGAAACACAGAAUAUACUAAGCAAGUCCCAAAGAAAUUACAUACUAGGUAUCUUCCAUACUCAAAUCUGGAGCUUUGGGUGCAUCAAACGCUCCAUCUAGUAAUCAGAUAAGAAACCAAAUCAGGAAGACGACAUUCACAUGGUUUCGGGGAACCAGUGUCAAUGCCAAUUUGGUCCACACUUGCUCUCGAGGAGUAAAUUCUGACCCAAUAAGUAUUGAAGUUAAAGUCAUGAAAACAAUAUAUUACCCUCAGCCUUUGAUAGGUUGAGGAUUUCGACUUCAAAUUCCAGUUCUUUCUUGUUAAUGAACCCUUUCUUGAGAUCUUCCCACGGCAUAAAGACUGGCUGACAACACUCGUAAUAUUUGGCAGAGAGCCAACCACUAACUGCAAUGCCCCAAAAUAAAUACUUAUUAAUUCCUUUUUUUUUAAAGUUACCAUCACGAAAAACUUCAAACUAGUAUAUACGUGACAAAUUUAGCCCAAAACUUAUUUUUGGAUCACUAAAAAUCCUAAAUUAAUACAUAUGUGAUAAAUUUACCUCAAAUUUAUAUGAAUUUUCGUGUAGACUCAUCAUGUGUCAUCAAAUUCAAUAAUUUCAUAGUAAAAUUUAAUAGAGGCUAACCAGUUAAAUUUGUCAUUGGUGUACUAAUUUAGAGGUUUUGAUAAUCAAAAAAUUAAUUUGAAGAAAAUUUGUCAAAGUCAUAUUAAUUUGAAGUUUUUUGUGGUAUUAAUUUUUUUUUUAAAAAAAAAUUGUAGACGAAGCCAUAUCUAAUUAGCAUACUCAUACUCAAGGUGGAACGAUGAAGAAUGAUAUUCACGUAGGAGAUAUUCACGUGCUUAUCUGGAUUAUUGUUGUGAUACUCAAAGGUUGGGAAGUCAUAUAGAUUGGGCUCUGAGCCCUUUCCAAAAAGCCACUCGGAAAUUUUCCUUUAAAUAAGAAUGAUAUUCAUUUAUAAAAGAUCUUGGAAAAAUCUGCACGGUUUUCUUUUUUAUUUUUGCAGGAUUUAUAUAUGGUAAUACUUACAUAUAUAAGCGUUAGCCCGUUUGUUUUGGAUUAAGCAAACUGAAAAAAAAAAAAAUAUAUAUAUAUAUAUAUAUAUAUAUAUAUAUAUAUAUAUAUAUCAUUCAAAUACUAAAAAGUCGUGCAAAAGUUAUGUGCAAAAUUACCAGCAAACAUUUGCAUGUUGUAAAGUUUGAUUAACAAUAAGCAAAAGUAUGCGCAUCGUAAAUAAUUGAUUUUGUAAAAAAAAGUAAAACUCAAUCUAGACACACAGCUGUUACAGAGAAAAAGGAAAAAAAAAAUACCUGUGUUUUUUUUAUAGUUUUUUGGGUAGCUUUUGUUCAACACCCGCAAAUUGGCUUCCACAUACAUUUUAAUCCCCGGACGAUCACGAAGGCGCGGCGCUUGUAAGUAAACGGACAUUGACCAACGCUGCUGCGGCCCAUUGCUCUGGGGAAACACUUUUAAUUGCCUACACACGAUAAUUAUAGUUAAAACAAAGAUAAGUUUAUAACUAAUUCUAAAACUUUUCACAAGAGUAUAGAUGAAUCCUAAAACUUAUGAUUAAAGUACAAUUGAAUUCUAAAAAUUUAAAAAGUACAUUCAAAACUUGUUAAAUUAGUAUAAUCAAAUUUUAAAACUUAUUAACAUUUUUUAAAACUUGUUAGCAUUUUCCAUUUAUCAAGUUUAACGAAGUUGAUGAGAAAACACGAUUGCACCAACUCAGCAGGUUUAAGGACUUGAUCCCAUUUUUUCAAAGUUUUAUGGCUUAAUUAUAUUUUUGUGAUAAAUUUUAGAACUUCUCGUGUAUUUAUUCCUGAAAUUUAAAAAGAGGCAAAAGGCGAGUAGCUAAUUCCAUUUCCUCGCCAACUUUUUUGUUCUGGGAAUGUACCACUCCCACCCUCCGACUUUAAAGGGCGUGGAACGCUGAGCUUGCUUGCUCAAUGCGGAGAAGUUUUGGAUAGUGGUCCUUUGAGGCGGAAAUUUGGCUAUGGUGAGGGUCUCCUCUUUCCUCUUACUUUCGCUGACCAUAACCUCAGCCCCAAAUACGCAAUAGUCGUCCUCGCGGUACCCACGUUUUGUUUUUUUUUGGACAAGUUUGCGGUACCCAUGUUUAGGAUCUUCGAAAGUUGCCAAGGGAAGGAACUUAGCAAACCCACAUAGGGUAUCUUCUUUAGUGAGUACCCUCGGUUUCUUCUCUUUCUCUGCACACACAUUUCCACAAGUUGAUAUAAACUCGGUUGUCAAUUCUAAACUAUGAUGACAUUACCGGGAGUGUGAUUUCAUUGUCUUUGAUCAUGAAUUACACAAUGAUCGACCUUGGAAGAUGACGUAGGUCCCAUUCCUGUUGUCGCGUACGAAAAACUUGUAGUCAACCAAGACCGUCCGGUUUCCAAGCUUAUUUGGCUUCUCCAUUGACAUAGAUAAGGACAAAUGUUUCUUCCCCGCACAGUCCUCGUAGUUACUGGUUUCAAGACAUAGGCUCCUGAAAAGGAUGGAUUAGACGUUUAAUUUAGCUAUGAAUCAAUUGACCGUUGUAUCUCUUAAUUGAGUUCAUUGGCGCUCCAAAUGAUACAAGCGUCGAGUUAUAUGAAGCAAAAGGGAAAUUCGAGAACUUACCAUUCGUAGCCCCCAGCUUAAAAAAAACCGAAUUUAUACUUGUCCAAUUUUAAUAAUUCGUUAACUGGUUCUAUCUUCACUUCAUAAUGAACUGGUGGAAGAGAUCUACGCGGCAAAUUGCCAGCACGAUCUGCCCAAAAAAACAAGAAACAUCUAAGCACAACUGAUUGUAUUCUAGGAGAUAGAAGGUUAUUCAAUGGCUCACCCCAAUGGGCAUAAAUUGGCCCUUCCACUUUAGGUCUUUUAGACAAAAUUUAAAGGUGAAGUAUUGAAUCCCGAAAGACUUUGAGAAUUGAAAUCCUCUUUCUUGAGAAAUCCGUAUCUCUCACAUGAAAAUAGUGGGAAUCCGUAUUCUAUUUCUUGAGAUAUCCAAUUGAAGCAAAGGAGACUAAGUUCAUGGCAAGGUAAGAUCUAACUUAACAAUCAUGAACAGUCAUGGAUGUAGAAAGGUCUUACCUGAAUCUUCUAAAAUGGCAUUACAGCCUAACAAAGUUUUGUUGAAAAGUUUAAAAGCAAAAGCAUGACUUAUCAAGAAUAACAACAAAGACUUAAGGUUAAGAAAAAAAUGAAAGUAGAGCACAAACACAAAAAAUGAAGGGAAGUACCAGGUUCCUUCUCCACCGGCAUGUCUCUUAGCUUGCUCUUAGCUCUUCGUUGCUUCCUAAUUUGCUUCUCUCUCUCUCUCUCUCUCUCUCAAACUGGUCGGAGACUUUGCUCAUCAAUCCCAGCCAUGAUGGAGUUUAUAUAGAGUCCGUUAGGACAAUAACAGAGUAGUUUCCUGAACCUUUUAAGAAGUAUCCCCGACUUUUCUCCGAAUAAAAGUUGAAAGAAGAGUUUCCGUGCUUUGAACGUCCUCUUGUGGCCUCUUUCCUAGCAACCAACCCCAUAACAUGAAAAAUUCGUCUGUUCACACCUGAAGGAAGCCAAAAGGACGCCGGGGCGGCCGGUGUAAUGAGGCAAUUGUCAUUAUUUCGCCCUCCCACUUCUCGACGCGUUAAAAAUUUGUCUUGAAAAAGAAAAAGACUUAAACAGGAAGAGUCAAUGACCGGGAGUGGCACUCGUUGACUCAUUGACCAAGAUCCCCAAAAUUCAUAGAGACCAAGCGUUUAUUGGGAUCUUGAGCCUAUGGCCGCUCACCACGGAGGGGUGCUCAUGGACCCCUUUGAUGUCAUUAGUCUCAAGCCCACCAAAUUUUAAGAGGAGGAUUCUUUUAUGUAAGUGCACUUUAAAGUUCGCAUCCUAAAUCGCUACACUCUUAUGAAAAAAUCAGUAUGAGGUAGUCUAUUUCCAAACGAAAAAUUACAAACUUGAAUUAUUCUAAAAAGAAAAAAAAAUUGCUAUCGAUCUUAGAAUGCGUUUAGCCUGUGCAAGCUACCUUCACCAAAAGUAGCUUGCACACAAUGGAUGAAACUUGAACAAGUCACCUUUGGUUCUUGAGUUAAAAAUCUUCUGACCUCCUAACUAACCGUGUCAAUCUUCAAGGGUUACAAUAAAUAAACAAGUAUGUUUGCUUUAGCUGUUUUAUGUUUCUAAAGUGAUUUCAAGGACAUACGUAUCAUCUACACAAUUGAGGUCAUGCUUAUUUUUCCUAGCAAAGUGUGGAAUAUUCAAAUUUUCAAUCAUUUUUCAGAAGUGAUUUGCCAACUUUUAUCGUUUGAUCCUGGUUGGCGUUUGAGUUUUCUCUUUCUUUUGUGUGUGAGAGUAGCUUGGAGGAAAACAGUACUCAUUUGGCGUAAUAAUUUGAGGGGGCACGUAACCGCGUACCAAAGAUAGUUAGGUGGGAAAUUGACCGGACGGCAUUCGUUGACUCGUUGACCAAGAUCCCCAAGAAACACCGAGGGUUCCCAUGAUCAUUAAGUCUGUGGCGGGCCCACCGAAUGUGACGCCACUGGUUGUGACGUCAUAUAGCGAGCUCACCCAGAGAGUGGCGCUCGUCGACCGUUUGACCGAGCGACCCAGCGUUUGUGUUAUUGACCGAAUAAUGACCCCUCGAUCGGAGAAAUGGGCGGUAGGCCUUGCCUUUCAUAUCUCAUCCCCCGUGACUCGUGAAGUACUCUAAUUGCUGCUACAAGUUCACAUUGGUCUCAUCAAUUUUUGAUCAAAUGAGAACUUUAUAAUUGCAUUGAAAUGUUUCUAUAACGACACCAAUAAGCAUGCGAAUAUAGUGAUAUUAUGCGAAUUCAUGACCUAUAUAUAAGAAUAAUAAAUUAAAAUAACGCCGCUAUCUCGUAAGAAUUUUUAUGAUUGUGCUGCUUCUUCUUGAAACUUGCAUCUAGGUAAUUUUACUUUUAUUUGAAAAGAAACAACUAAAACCUCCCCCACAUGCAAAUAAUUAACAUGUAAAUUCACAUACAUGUGACAUGAUUUCAUUUUCAACAUUUUGUAAAAAAGAGUUUGCCUUUUCUUUAAGUAAAUUCAUAUAGUCUAUAAAAAAAAAAGCACAUAUGUAUCUCCUAAUUCACCCGCUGCGGGAUUUCUUCUUUUCACGUGUAUGGCCAUAUAAUAUUGCUUCUUAAUCUUUACUAGGAAUAUAAUGGAAUCUCAAUAAUUUUUACUCUUUGGAUGAGGUUAUUUUCAUUUUGAAUGAAUCCGAGCUCAAUUAGGCGUUACCUGAUGUGUCGAAUGUUCUUGUGCAAAUAAAAUUUUUGGUAAACAAUGCACAAUCACUUAAACACUCAUAUGUUUGAAAUGAAAGAGAAUUGAUUUUGGACGUGAGUUACGAUUCGAAUGAGCAACUUAGCGACUACUAAAUCUAAAUAUUUAUUAAAAAUGGCCCGACAGAAUUGGAUCUUUAUACAAAAUUAAAAGUUAAGCAUUUUAUCCUUCUUUGCUAUUAGGAGGAUAGCAAAUAAUAUUACUAAAAAUUGAUGAUAGAUGCAAAGUAAUAUGGAAUUUUGAAGAGUAGACAUCUCACUUGGAGACUAAUUUUAUAAUAAUGUUAAAUUUAUAUGCACAUCUGCCUGCACGCGUAUCAUAUAUUUAGUGUUAACUGUUCCCCACGAAGGUGGAUAUUUCUUUAGAAGCUUUUGCAGUGGGCAAAAUAUUUAGAGGAUUCCUUUCAAAUAGCGGACUAUGCCAACAAAUUGCUAUAUUAGCUUAUGAAACACAUUCCCAAUUGGAAUCUUUAUAAUAAAUAAAAUUUCAAAAAGUUUAAAAGCAAAAGACAUGAAUUACUAAGAUUAACAAAUAAGUGAAGUACAGGUUCACACAUAGCUACACCUACUUUUGUUUUGGAAGUAUUUGAACAAGUUGAAAUAAACCCUCCCGACCAUUAAAGUGUAGUAACUCCUGGCAGCUCGUAUCGUCCACUCUCAAAUUGGAUUUCGAUGUUGUUUCCAACAUUGGAAUCAGCAUGAUGUUUUCUAUGUUUCAUGAACUCUUCAUAAUUUUCUUAAAUAUUUUAUUUUUUAUCUGAAUCUAAGAAAUUAAUAAUUUUAUUGCGAUAUUUGUUAGCCAUGGAGUUGCACUUUUUGAGCGAUGACAAAUUUGCCGAUGUGUAAUCGCAACUUAUAGGGAGCCAAUAACAAAAUAGUGCAGUGGCACUUUGGAAUAAUGUAAAAAAGUGAGUUUAAAAAGAGGUUCCGGCUUUGAUGUUAUAGAGGGAUCUUCCAAAAUUCAUGAUCACUCUCACUCACCGUCUUACUUGUUCUUUAAGAUGCUAAGAGCGCGUUACCGAAAACAGCUGAUUCUAUUCUUUUGUUUCCGGGAACAAAAUUGCAUUUUUUUUAUUCCCAAAAAUAGAUUUGGAAUGCAAUCAAGAAGUAAAAAAAAAUAAAAAUUACUUCUUGUUUCUAGAAACAAUUUAUGGAAUCAAAUCUAAUUUUUCAUUUUCUCUUUUCUUUUCUUCUCUUUCCUUUUCUUCUUCUUCCUUUUGGCCAAUUGCCAGCCUCGGCCAUGAUCGACGACCAGCUGAUGAGGGCCGGCGACCUCACCGGCUCGAGUCUCACCAUGGCUGGGCGAGGAUGUUCAAUCAAGCUAGAUAUCUUCAUUUUUCAUAAGCACUAUUAACCAGAAGAUUUGUAUCUGCAUAUGUAUAAAUUCAUGAGUGGUUGUGAAUGUAGAAAGGUCAUAUUUGAUCCAUUUUCUAUCCCAGCAUUAUAACCAAAAGAUCUUCGUAAAAGUUUGAAACAAAAGGCACGAAUCAUUAAGAAUAACAACACGGACUUAGGCUAACAAAAAAAUGGAAAUAGAGAGAAAAGACGAGAUGAAGUGAAGUUCUGGUCGUGGCAAAGCAGCUCAUUGCCAUCUUGGAAAGCGUGAUCUCUUAGCUUGCUCUUAACUCUCCGUUGCUUCCUAAUUUGCUCCUCUCUCUCUCUCUCUCUCUCUCUCUCUCUCUCUCUCUCAAACUGAUCGAAGACUUUGCUCAUCAACCCCAGCCAUAAUGGGGAUUAUAUAGAGUCCAUCCAAACAAUAAAAGAUUAGAUUCCCAAACUUUGGAAAAAUUACUAAAAAAGUUUUAAACUUAUUACAAUUGUGUUAAUUUAGUCAUAAACUUAUUUUUUUGACUAAUUAAGUUAUAAACAUUUUGAAAUUGUGUUAGUUCAAUCUCUCCAGCCAAAAUUGGCCAACUGGCGUUGACGUGGCUAUUGGCGGGCACCGACAACAAUUUUUUUGAUAAUAUUUUAUUUUUUUCAAAUUAAUUUAUUAAUUUUUAUCCUUUUUUUUUCUCCUCCCUCCUUCUUCCUUUGGUUCUAACAAUCGACCAGAGAGGAGAGCUAGCUGGUCGUUGGACUAAGGUGGCCGAGCGAGCUCGCCCAGCCACUAGCAAGGCAAGCCCAUGUCAAAUCCAGUAGGGGCUCGCCUCAUUAGACCCAACAACGGUGAGGCAAGCCCUCGUCAGAUCAGGCAAGGGCUCACCUCGCUAGUGGUUGGGUGAGCUCGCACUCACCCAACAACGGCGAGGCGAGCUUGCCCGGCCACCUCAAUUUGAUGACCAGCCAGCCCUCCCUGCUGGCUAGUCACUGAAGCCAAACGAAGGAGAGAAGAGGAGAAAAAAAAAUAAUUUGAAAAAAUGAAGUAUUAUUAAAAAUUGUCGUGGGCGGCCACGUCAGCGCCGAUCAGCCAAUUUUUGUUAGAGAGACUGAAUUGACAUAAUCUCAAAAGAUUUAUGACUCAAUUGAUUAAAAAACAUUAAGAUUGAAUUGACAUAAUUAUAAGAAUUAUAAGAAUUUUUUCAUAAUUUUUUCUCUAACUUUUUAGGAGUGUCCCCGACUUUUCUCCUAAUAAAAGCUGAAAAAAAAGUUUCAUGUUCUUUGAAUGACCUCUAGUGGCCUCGAGGAAGCCAAAAAGAGACGUGAGCGGCCAGUGUAACGAGGCAAUUGCCAAUAUUUCCCUCUCCCACUUCUUGACGCGUGUAAAUGUCUUGAAAAAAGAAGAAGUCUUAAACAGGAAAAGUCAAUGACCAGGAGUGGCACGCGUUGAUUCAUUGACCAAGAUCCCCUAAAAUCAUUUAGUCCGAGCGUUUAAUGUGCUUGAGUCUAUGGUGAGCUCACCACGAAGGGGGUGCUCGAGCCCAUCAAAUUUUAGGAGGAGGAUCCUUCUAUGUAAGUGUACUUUAAAGUUUGCAUCCUAAAUCGUCACGAUAUUACGAAAAAAUCAAUAUAAUAAGAUGAUCAAUAUAAUUUAUGAGAAAAGUAGUCUAUUCCCAAUCUAAAAAUUACAAACUUAAAGUACUCUAAAAGAAAAAAUAAAUUACUAUCGAUCUUGGAGUGCGUUUGGCCUAUGCUGGUUGCCUUCACCAAUAGUAGUUCGUACAUAAUUGAUGAGAAUUAAACAAGUCAUCUUUAGUUUUUGAGUUAGAAAUCUUUCGACCUUCUAACCAACCAAGCCAACCUUUGAAGGUUAAAUAAAUGAACAACUCUUUUUGCUUUAAUUGUUUGUGUUUUUAAAGUGAUUUCAAGGAGAUGUAUGUCAUCCGGUUAACACAAUUGGGGUAAUGCUAACUUUUGACAAGUGUGGAAUGAUUCAAAUUUUCAAUUAUUUAUCAAGAGUGAUUUGUCAACUUUUGUCGUUUGAUUCAUGUCGGCGUUUGAGUUUUCUUCCUUUCUUUUUUGUGUGUGUGAGUAGGUUGGAGGAAAAAUAGAACUAUUCGAGAGAGGACUAGUAAGUAAAACAGUACUCAUUUGGCGUAAUAAUUCGAAGGGACGCGUAACGUCGUACAAAACGAAGGCAGUGGGAAAUUGACCGGACGUGGCAUCCGUUGACUCGCUGACCGAGAUACCAAAAAUCAUGGGGACCGACAGGGUUCACGUGAUCCUCGAGUCUAUGGCGGGCCCACCGAAUGCGACAUCGCUAGUUGUGACGUCAUAUGGCGAGCUCACCCAGAAAGUGAGGCUCGUUGACCCUUUGACCGAAUGACCUAGCGUUUAUGUGCUCUUCGGUGAAUAAUGACCGCUCGACCAGAGAAAUGAACGGUGGGCUUUGCCCUCUCAUAUCUCAUCCCGCGGGACCGUGAAAUACUCUAAUUGCUACUACAAAUUCACUUUGUUUUCAGUCAUUUUCAAUCAAAUGAGAACUUUAUAAUUGCCUUGAAAUUGUUUUUAUAACGACACAAAUAAGCAUACGAAUAUAAUGAUAUGAUGUGUCUCACAACCUAUAUAUAAUAAUAAUAAAUUAAAAUAAAGUCUCUUUAUCAAAUAAAUUUUCUUGAUUGUGUUGUUUUUUUUCUUAAAUCUUGCAUCUACGGUGAUUUUAUUUUUAUUUAGAAAAAAAAAACUAAAACCUCCCCACAUGCAAAUAAUUAAGUAUGUCAAUUCACAUAUGUGUCACGUAAUUUUCAUUUUCAACAUAUUGAAAAAUAUGGUUGGCCUUUUCUUUAAGUAAAUUCAAAUAGUCUAUAAAAUACACAUAUUUAUCUACUACUUCACCCGAUGCAGGAUUUCUGCAUUUCACAUUUAUGGCUUCAUAACAUUGUUACUUAAUCUUAACUAUGAUAAAAACAUGUGCCCCACAAAAAAUAAAUCUAUUUAUCAAUCUACUAUUUACUUCUUUUACUUGACAUUUCUUGUCAUAGACAAGCAUUAUUUUUUUUAUUAUAUUUUCCCACUAAUCCUUAGACUAGAUAUUUGUUAAAACUAGUUGAGAUAAUUUAUAGUCCAUUUAACUACAUACUGCCACUGAGUGCCGUAAUUGUGUGUAAAAAUAUUGAAAAACUGCAGCAUCUCAAAAUUGACGUUAAGAAGCUUCCGAAAAUGUGUUACUAAUAUGAGCUCAGUCUGUUUUUAACUUGGAUAAGCCAAAGUUGAUCAUUGUAACACAACUAUAAAUGUAAUAUGCUAUUCAUAAACGCCAAAUUAUGGGUGUAUAUGUUUGUAAUUCUGUGUAAUAAAUUCAAUCGAGCAUUAUAAUUUUUCUUGAAAAAUAGGCAAUUAGUUGUAUAAUGGACUUUCAAUAUAUUUUACUCUUUGGAUGAUGUUAUUUUCGUUUUGAAUAAAUCCGAGCUCAAUCAUGUGUUACCUGAUGUGCCCUAAUGUUUUUGUGAAAAUAACAUUUUUGGCAAACAGUGGACAGUCAUUUAAAAACUCAUAUGUUUGAAAUGAAAGAUAAUUGAUUUUGGACAUGAGCUACAAUUCGAAUGAGCAACUUAAGUGACCACUGACUUCAAAAACUAAUUAAAAAGGCCCAACAGAAUUUGAUCUCUUUACAACAGUAAAGAUUUAGCAUUUUAUCCUUCUUUGCUAUUAGGAGGAUAGUAGAUAAUAUUACUAAAAAUUGAUGAUAGAUAUAUAUUUAAAAAGUAAUCUGGAAUUUUGAAGAGUAGACAUCUCAUUUGUAAACAAACUUUAUUACAAUGUUAAAUUUAUUUGCACACCUACCCGCACACGUACGUACAUACAUUCAAGGCGCUCAUGAAAAAAUUUGUAGAAGAGAAAUCAAUUUCUAGCCAGAAAUUGAUUUCUUAAUUUCUAUUUUCUGGACGAGUUUCUCAGCAAAGAAACGUGUUUGAUAACGAUUCAAAAUUUCUAUUUUUGGAAUAAAAAUUCAUUUAAUAACAUAAUAAAAUUUAUAUUUCAAGGGGUGGAGACGAUCGGCGUUCGGUGGCCACCAGCCAAUGACCGACUGGGGGGUGCUGGAGUCCAUAUGCGGCCGGACAGAGUUUGGUGGCUAACGUCCAGUGUCAGGUGUUCGCUGUCCGGUGGUCGGCGGAUGGAGUCCAGCAGCCGAUGGCCAAUGGCAGGCGGCUAGCGACUGGCAGCGAACGUCCGGUGGUCCGGCAUCCCACAAGUGGUGGAUGGGCAACGGGUGGUGACGAGAGUGAACGAUAAGAAGAAUUUUGAUUUCUCACUUUUGUUCCAAAAAUUGAAAAACUAAUUAUUUUAGCUUUUGAUUUCUGCUCCAAAUCUAUUUAUGAAAUAGAAAUCUAUUUUAGAAAUAAAAAAAUGGAAUUGUGUUAUCGAACAAAUUUCUAUUUCAAAUUUGUUCCGAGGAAUAGAAAAACAAAGAAAUAGGGAAAUAUAAAUUUUGUCAUGCAUGCUCUUAGUUUUAACUGUUCCAUACGAAGGGAGAUCUUUCUUAGGAAGCUUUCGCAAUGGGCAAAAUAUUUUGAGAAAUUCUUUCAAAUAGUGGACAAUGCCAAAAAAUUACUAUAUUAGCUUAUGAAGCAUAUUCUCAUUUGGAAACUUUAUAAACCAAAUAAAAUUUUAAAAAUUUUAAAAGCGAUAGACAUGAAUUAUUAAGACUAACAAAUAAAGUGAAGUUCCGGUUUCCACAUACCCACUCUUGUUUUGGAAGUACUUGAACAAGUUGAAAAAGACCUUCCCGACCACUAAGGACGUGCAUGAAGAAAUUUUUGGAAUAGAAAUAAACUUCUGACCUGAAAUUGAUUUCUCAAUUUCAAUUCCCUUGACGAGUUUCUAAGUAAAGAAACGUAUUUGAUAACGACUCAAAAGUUCUAUUUCUAGAACAAAAAUUCGUUUGAUAAUAGAAUAAAAUUUCUAUUUCUAGAGGGGCGACUGGCAUUUGACAGCUGGCGUCUCAUGGGUAGCGGGUGGUGACGAGAGUGAUGAACAGGUUUGGAACAGAAAUUUGGUUAAUAACGCAAUUUCAUUUUUCUAUUUCUAGAGUCGAUUUCUAUUUCAGAAAUAGAUUUGGAAUUAAAAUCAGAAGUUAAAAUUUUUAGUUUUUCUAUUUCUAAAACAAAAAGUAAGAAAUGAAAACUAUUCUCAUUGUUCACUCUCUUUGGAAUGCCGAACGCCUGCCGCCAGACGCAGCCGCUGCCCCUCUAGAAAUAGAAGUUUUAUUCCGUUAUCAAACGAACUUCUAUUCUAGAAACAUAAUUUUUGAGUUGUUAUCAAACGUGUUUCUUUACUCAAAAACUCGUCCAAGGAAUAUAAAUUGAUUUCUGGAACAUAAAUGUUGUCAUGUGUGCCCUAAGUGCGGUAACUCCUGGCGGCUCAAAUUGUCCACUCUCAAAUUGGAUUUCAAUGUUGUUUUCAACAUUAGAACCAUCAUAAUGUUUUCUAUGUUCAUGAACUCUUCAUAAGUUUCUUAAAUAUUUUAUUUUUUAUCUGAAUCUAAGAAAUUACGAGUUUUAUUUCGAAAUUUGUUAGCCAUGGAGUUGCACUUUUUGAGCGAUGACAAAUUUUCCGAUGGGUGAUCGCAACUUAUAUGGAGCCAAUAACAGAAUGGUGCAGCUGCACUUUGGAAUAAUGUAAAAAAUUGAGUCAACAAAGAGGUUCUGGCUUUAACGUUAUAGAGGGAUCUUCCAUAAUUCAGGAUCACUCUCACUCACUGUCUUACUUGUUCUUUAAGAUGCUAAUGGGCCAACAGGCGUUUAGUGCCUUCAUGUUUCUGAUCUUCUUUAGCAACCAUUUUCUUAAAAGUUUAACUUCGAAUUGCUUGAAUUCAUGUGGAAGAAUGAAAAGGCGAAUGUUUCUAGAAGAAAAAAGCCAAAAAUCCUAACUAAGCGGAAAUAAGAUACGAGUCAUGUGACAUUAUUUGGAUAAACACUAACUGUACACAAGUAAUAAAUUUGACCGAGUUAGUCUAUGACUUUUGAGUAGCUGUGUUGCUAAUCAUAUCUUUGCAUAGUGUUACUAAGUUGUAAUAGUAAGUAGUCAAGUGUACAAGUGUAAGGAUAGUGGUUGUGUCAUGAUAGUGUGAUCUAUCAAUCGAUGGUAGGAACAUUGCUGAUUGUAAUUUGCUUUAAUGUUUACUUGUGGAUUUCAAUCUUGUUGCAGCUAUUAGUAUGGAGAAUGGACAUAUGUUUUGGGAAAAAACCGAACUACUAUAAAUCUUAGUAUGUUAUCUUCUAUCUCUUUAUUAUUAGCAUCACUUGUUGAUUAUUAGUAACUGUUCAUCAGCACCACUUCUGAUUACGUUAAAUUGUUUCUAUUGAUAACUUGUUAUAUUCCGCAAAAAUUCUUCAUAGUUCUCAUUGAAUUGUUUUACACCUAACCCCACAACACCGCGCUUCUCGUGAACAGUCAGUGGCAAUAAGGAACGACCUUUACCACCCUUUCCUAGGGAUCCUCACCGUUGGAACCCUACCACCCUUCCAAAGGAUACUCACAAAGAGAGCUACGAGCAGACAUGUUAGAUAGCACGCAUGCAGACAUCUUGGCUCUACUACAACACGAGGAAAGAUCGCGACAAACUACAAAAUGGCUCACAAGGAUUUAUUAUAAGCAUAGCUACGAUUACACACAAUUCGGAAACACAAAAUAUACUAAGCAAGCCCCAAAGAAACUACGAUUCCACAAGGUUGUGGACAUACCAGGUAUCUUCCAUACACAAAUCUGGAGCUUGGGUGCAUCGAACGCUCCAUCUAGUAAUCAAAUCAGAAACCAAAUCAGGAAGACAUUCCCAGGGUUUCGGGGGAACCAAUGUCUACGCCAAUUUGGUCCGCACACUUUGCUCUCGAGGAGUAAUUCUCCAUUAAAUAUCGAGGUUAAGUCAUCAAACCGAUUCAUUACACCUCGCAACAUCUGAUACGACGAAAAUUUCGACUGCAAAUGCCAGUUCUUUCUUGUUAACGAACCCUCCAUUCGGUUUCUCGAGAUCUCCCCGCGGCAUAAAGUUUGGGCGACCGUAGUUGUAAUUUUUGGCAGAGAGCCAACCACUAACUGCAAUGCCCCGAAAGAAAUACUAAUUAGUUC
This 19508-nucleotide long non-coding RNA is filed under the name Eucalyptus grandis. RNAcentral's name for it is "long non-coding RNA (EGRA_LNC006730)". Lineage: Eukaryota; Viridiplantae; Streptophyta; Magnoliopsida; Myrtales; Myrtaceae. The record is from RNAcentral.